GUGCAGCAGUCGAGAAAACUCCGCAAUGCUCGAAAGAGUGACGGGGGGAUUCCAAGUGCCUACGCUUAGCGUAGGCUGUUCAGAUGCCUAAAAAGCAUCUGGAGUAAGGGCUGGGUAAGACGGGUGCCAUCUGCAGGUGGUAAUGAAAAACUUGCUACUGCAAGGCAUAAGCCGCCGCGGUAAUACCCGCAGCCCGAGUGGUAGUCGCUUUUAAUUGGGCCUAAAGCGUCCGUAGCCGGUCUGGUAAAUGCCUGGGUAAAUCGUGGGGCCUAACCUCACGAAUUCCGGGUAGACUGCCAGACUUGGGACCGGUUGAGGGAGAGGGUACUCCGAGGGGUAGGGGUGAAAUCCUGUAAUCCUUGGAGGACCACCGGUGGCGAAAGCGCUCUCCUAGGGACGGUCGACGGUGAGGGACGAAA
This 419-nucleotide ribosomal RNA is filed under the name uncultured microorganism. RNAcentral describes it as "bacterial SSU rRNA". It matches the Rfam family "Archaeal small subunit ribosomal RNA", at positions 330 to 709 of the family's 1478-position model. The record is from RNAcentral.